This 254-nucleotide ribosomal RNA is filed under the name uncultured bacterium. Its description in RNAcentral is "partial 16S ribosomal RNA". It matches the Rfam family "Bacterial small subunit ribosomal RNA", at positions 524 to 776 of the family's 1533-position model. The record is from RNAcentral.
CACGUAGGGACCGAGCGUUGUCCGGAUUUAUUGGGCGUAAAGAGCUCGUAGGCGGUUCAGCAAGUCGGGUGUGAAAACUCUGGGCUCAACCCAGAGACGCCACCCGAUACUGCUGUGACUAGAGUCCGGUAGGGGAGUGGGGAAUUCCUGGUGUAGCGGUGAAAUGCGCAGAUAUCAGGAGGAACACCGGUGGCGAAGGCGGGUCUCUGGGCCGAUACUGACGCUGAGGAGCGAAAGCGUGGGGAGCGAACAGG